Long non-coding RNA from Gekko japonicus, 356 nucleotides. RefSeq lists it as uncharacterized. Lineage: Eukaryota; Metazoa; Chordata; Lepidosauria; Squamata; Gekkonidae. The record is from RefSeq and is a predicted model, not a curated record. The transcript is spliced from 3 exons.
GCUGCCGGUGCUACCGAGAAGGCCUGCCGGAACAGACCUCCCCGGGUGAGGCGCACAUCUUCCUUGGACACCGUCCUCGGGUCGUACCUCCUCGGUCAGUGGCCUCGGGAUGCGGAAGGAGCGGCUUUAUCACCUAUGAGCGACAAAUCGACACAGACUCCUGUAUCCUGGCACGAAGUGGAGGUGGGGAAGGCCACCCUUCAUAAGCGUUCUGCCUCCUGGGGCAGCAUGGGCCAUCGCAGAGAGAUCGCCAAACUGAAGCAGCAGCUGCAGCGAACAAAGCUGAGCACCAGGAAUGGCAAAGAGAAGGAACAGAGCUCCCCUGUCCAGGGGGAUCAUACGGUGCUCCCAACGGU